This 617-nucleotide ribosomal RNA is filed under the name Mortierella sp. UFMGCB8521. RNAcentral's name for it is "eukaryotic LSU rRNA". The stretch from base 161 to 314 matches the Rfam family "5.8S ribosomal RNA". Lineage: Eukaryota; Fungi; Mortierellomycota; Mortierellomycetes; Mortierellales; Mortierellaceae. The record is from RNAcentral.
GGAAGGAUCAUUCAUAAUAAGUGUUUUAUGGCACUUUUUAAAUCCAUAUCCACCUUGUGUGCAAUGUCAGUCGGUCUUCUUUAUGGAGAUCGGCCAAACAUCAACCUAAUUUUUUAACUCUUUGUCUGAAAAAUAUUAUGAAUAAAAUAAUUCAAAAUACAACUUUCAACAACGGAUCUCUUGGCUCUCGCAUCGAUGAAGAACGCAGCGAAAUGCGAUACGUAAUGUGAAUUGCAGAAUUCAGUGAAUCAUCGAAUCUUUGAACGCAUAUUGCGCUCUUUGGUAUUCCGAAGAGCAUGCUUGUUUGAGUAUCAGUAAACACCUCAAAACCUUUUUUUAUUUUUAAAAAACAGUUUUGGACUUGAGCAAUCCCAACACCAAUCUUUUUUAGAUCGGUGGCGGGUUGCUUGAAAUGCAGGUGCAGCUGGACAUUCUCCUGAGCUAAAAGCAUAUUUAUUUAGUCCCGUCAAACGGAUUAUUACUUUUGCUGCAGCUAAUAUAAAGGGAGUUUGACCGUUUUGGCUGACUGAUGCAGGAUUUCACAAGGGUCGGCAACGAUUCUUGUAAAACUCGAUCUCAAAUCAAGUAAGACUACCCGCUGAACUUAAGCAUAUCAA